Molecule: ribosomal RNA, 486 nt
Filed under: uncultured bacterium
Lineage: Bacteria
Description: partial 16S ribosomal RNA
Rfam family: Bacterial small subunit ribosomal RNA
Source: RNAcentral
AUUGAACGCUGGCGGCAUGCCUAACACAUGCAAGUCGAACGGCAGCACGGGUUCUUGUAUCUGGUGGCGAGUGGCGAACGGGUGAGAAAUACAUCGGAACAUGUCCUGUAGUGGGGGAGAGCCCGGCGAAAGCCGGAUUAAUACCGCCUACGAUUUACGGAUGAAAGCGGGGGACCUACUGGCCUCGCGCCAUAGGGUUGGCCGAUGGCGGAUUAGCUAGUUGGUGGGGUAAAGGCCUACCAAGGCGACGAUCAGUAGCUGGUCUGAGAGGACGACCAGCCACACUGGGACUGAGACACGGCCCAGACUCCUACGGGAGGCAGCAGUAGGGAAUUUUGAGCAAUGGGGGAAAGCCUGAUACAGCAAUGCCGCGUGUGUGAAGAAGGCCUUCGGAUUGUAAAGCAAUUUUGUCCGGAAAGAAGUACUUGGCACUAAUACGGGCGGGGGAUGACGGUACCGGAAGAAUAAGCACCGGCUAACUACGUG